AGAGUUUGAUCCUGGCUCAGAUUGAACGCUGGCGGCAUGGCUAAAACAUGCAAGUCGAACGCGAACGGGGCUUCGGCCCUUAUUAGAGUGGCGAAAGGGCGAGUAAUGCAUGCUUAACGUGCCCCGAGGUGCGGGAUAGCAGGGGGAAACUCCUGGUAAUACCGCAUGAUCCCGCAGAACCGCAUGGCUCUGCGGGCAAAGGUUUACUGCCUCGGGAUCGGAGCAUGUCCUAUCAGGUUGUUGGUGAGGUAAUGGCUCACCAAGCCCAAGACGGGUAGCGGGUGUGAGAGCACGACCCGCCGCAUCGGGACUGAGACACUGCCCGGACUCCUACGGGAGGCUGCAGUAACGAAUAUUCCGCAAUGCGCGAAAGCGUGACGGAGCAAUGCCGCGUGAAGGAUGAAGCCCCUAGGGGUGUAAACUUCUGUCAGGGUCUAGGAAUAAUGACCAGACCCAAAGGAAGGACCGGCUAACUCUGUGCCAGCAGCCGCGGUAAUACAGAGGGUCCAAGCGUUAAUCGGAAUCACUGGGCUUAAGGGUGCGCAGGCGGACUUGUAGGUAUCUUGUGAAAUCCCACGGCUCAACCGUGGAAUCGCUCGGUAAACCACAAGUCUUGAGCGCGACAGGGGCCGUCGGAACGGUAGUGGAGCGGUGAAAUG
This 659-nucleotide ribosomal RNA is filed under the name uncultured bacterium. RNAcentral describes it as "bacterial SSU rRNA". It matches the Rfam family "Bacterial small subunit ribosomal RNA", at positions 8 to 688 of the family's 1533-position model. The record is from RNAcentral.